Long non-coding RNA from Mandrillus leucophaeus (drill), 1268 nucleotides. RefSeq lists it as uncharacterized. NCBI's taxonomy places the organism in Eukaryota, Metazoa, Chordata, Mammalia, Primates, Cercopithecidae. The transcript is spliced from 2 exons. The record is from RefSeq and is a predicted model, not a curated record.
CCCAAGACCAAAGAAAAGAAUACGAAGAAAGUGGAUCACAGGGCACCUGGCGCUGAGGAAGACGACUCCGAGCUGCAGAGGGCGUGGGGGGCUCUGAUUAAGGAGAAAGAGCAGUCUCGCCAAAAGAAGAGCCGCUGUUACCAGCACCCUUUUCCCAAGAAAAGUCAAUUCCCAGGUGCUUAUUGGACAUCCUUCGAGGGGGAAGAGGAGGGAAGCGGCCAGCUCACCCUUCCGGGACCCUAGUGUGGGGGCGAAUCUCACCGACCUGACCUCAGAGGUGCACCAGUGCCGCCCAGGUAGAUAAGAGCUGCAGCAUUGACUGUGCUUCCGUUCUUCCCUCGGGGAUUGCUCAUGUCAUGGGCCUCUUACUUGCUGUCAGCUUGAUGUGAAGAUCAAGUUCAGUGCUGUGGGAUUUUUAGGAACAAAAAACUGUGACGUCUGGAUUUGGGGUUGAUUUUUGUGCUGGGGGUGGGAUUAUGGGUUAAUGUUAAAGAAUUUUUAAGUCUGUAUUAUGUUUAAAACACAAAUGAUUUGAAAGUUUAAAUUUUUAGUUUUUAUAUGUGGAAAUUCUUCCUGUUGGCUAAAGGGGAAGCUCGAGUGGUGUCUUCUUUUGUGCUGUUAAAUAUAUAUUCUAUUCUUUGGAAGAAGGCAGAGAGAGGAGUCUUAUUAUUUUUAAAUGCUUCUAGUUGUAGAGCCUGUCUGUUGUACAUAGAGUUCAGCUUGCUUUUUGGCUCCAGUAGGAAAAAAAUCCAUCCAUCUGAGAUGGGUCCUGUUGUUUAUUAUCACUCUAGAAGUUAAUACAUUGAUAUUUAUUCUUUCUGUCCCCAAGUUGUGGCACCUGAAGACAUCUUAAAACUUGGCAGAAAAGAUAAUAGUUAUGAAAAUUUUAGUUCAUUUAUUUUUAAACUCCUUUCAGAUUAUUUUACCAUUAGGAGGAGGUAGAUUGUUUCUUCUUGCUGUCUGAUUUUUGUUUUGUAGUAUUUAAUUUUGUAUUCCUCUGCAGUUUUGAGAAACAGUGUUUCGCUUCGGUUUGCUGGAACAUGGGAGUUAGAGCUGGUCGUAAGCCGUGGUCCUUUUUGCGAUGUCACAACUCUUCACCUGCCUGGGCUGUUCCGCACACAGUGCAGCCUGGAUCCUGGCGAUCUGUACUUGUGGCCGAGCUAAUGGUCACAUUGAUAGUUGAUUACACUGUGGCACGAAUGAAUGCAGAACACUGUUAUUAAUAAAGGAAGUAAAAGGGCUGCAAGAUUUGAGAGCUGCAACAAAAA